This 16873-nucleotide long non-coding RNA is filed under the name Coffea arabica (coffee). RNAcentral describes it as "long non-coding RNA (CARA_LNC003362)". Lineage: Eukaryota; Viridiplantae; Streptophyta; Magnoliopsida; Gentianales; Rubiaceae. The record is from RNAcentral.
CUUUUCUAAUAUUUAUAACAAAUAUGAAGGAAUAUUAUACAACUCCAAGGGUAUUGAGUGUAAUUUCAAAUUUUAUGUGCGUGAGAUGCUUAUUUAAGGUCCAGGAUACAAGAUCUCUUUGAUAUCAUUCGCUUAUGCUCUCUUAGCAUUCUUCAAGUUGCCAGUCCUUUUUCCCCUUUUUUUUAUUUUAUUUUUUUGGUUUCCUCUCUUUAACUUUCUUCCUAGAUUUAUUUUUUAAACGUGAACAUGUUUUAGUUUCUUAAAACCACACUGCUUAUUUACUUAGAUUCAAAUGGCUUCAGAAUUGCCAAAUAGUUCCGAACCUUCACCUUUUCUUUAUGAGUUUGAUGGAUUAGAAUUAACAGAAUUUGAUUCAAUUACGCUCCAGGAGCUGCUUCAAGACGAAGAACCAGAAGAAAAUGUGCAAGAUAAUAGUAGUUCUGGCAUUAUUCAAUCCAUGGAGACAGUUAAUGGAGAUUUGGACAGUAUGACCAUGGAAUACUCAGACAAGAUUCAGUUUCACUACGACAACUUUGCCUGGAUUGACACCAUGGAAAUUGGCUCUGCCUUGCCAAGUAAUGAUAUGGACUUAUGGUACGUAGAUAAUGCACACACUGAAGAGAUAAUUAGCGGAAUUGCUCAGGUGAAAGAAGUUAUAGAUAACUCUAAUAGCACAGUUCAAAUAGAUGAAUCAUCAUACUUUGAGUUGUGGCAUGAUAAUUGAUGAUAGAAAUGCUUGGCCCAUUAGAAGAAUGGCUGUGACUUUUUAUCAUCAUCAAUCAUUGAUGAUGAAACAAUAAACCACAAAAGGUUCUGUUAUCUUUAACUCCUUGAAGUUUGUUUGCCCUUAUGAAUGCUUGAAACACUAGAGACAACUUUUCUCGGUUGUCAAAAUGUCGAUGAAAAUGUAUCUUCCAUGCUUUCGUGGUGUAAAAAUUUUGUUCGCAGGAAUGAAUUCAAAUUUCCUCCAUCUCUUGAUAUGGCCUCAGGAGGAGUGUUCAUGUUUAAAUUUUUAUUUUUUUUUUAAAUUUACAGAAUCGUGUAUUAGUGGUACAACCGCCUUAAGCUAAUACAAUUUUACGACAUGCAGAAAGAUGGAAAUAAAUAUAACUGUUGAGCGAAGGUUCAAUUUAACAAAGAAUAGACAACAACAAUUGUCUGCCAAAUAAAAGUUUUCUCCGUCUGAAAGAGUAAGACUUCAAUUCACUUUACCAUGAUCCGAACAAGAAUAGAAAUUUCCAUGUAAAAACAAACUCGUGGUUUAUUUAUUGAUACUAUUAUUUAACUUACUCAGUUAACCUCCUGGCCCUUUUUUCCUCUUUUACUUUUAAACUUUUAACUUGGUGAAGGAAAGGGUAUCAAUUUGUUUGAUGCAGAGAUUAGAUUACUUAAUUUUGCCAUUGUUCAAUGUGAAGCCUUACUUGUGAAUCUGUACGCACCUACGUUCUUCCCCAAGAAUUCAAGUAAAAAAGGAAAUAAAAGCUAAGAGUAUGGAAUAAUGGAAAAAAACACAUGCAGCUCCAAGUGUAAAGGCCCAACUUGACCCCCAAGAAGGAAAGGGGAAAUAGAAAGGUCAGAGCAUAGAGGACUGGAAACAGACAUACAACUUCAACUGCUUGUGAUGUAAUUCAAGAACGUCUUGUUGGCUCAGCAGUACAAGUAAAUAACUGUUGAGCAAAAUAAUAUUCAUUGCAAAAAAUAUGACAUGAAUAAUGUAACAUGGUUUUCAAGAGGGCUAGGGUACUGGCAAAAGGAGAUUUGUUUCUUAAGCUUCCUUUACAUGACCUUUGGCCAGUAAAACCUGAGUUCUUGUAAUUUAGUGAGGUAACUUGCGUAAAUAGAUGUGCUCCAUGAGAAACGCCAAUAAAUGGUGAAACUCUCCUGCUAGGGACUAAUCCAAAGCAUUCCAGUUUAAGCAUCUUUGGAACUAACAUUAAACUUUGCUAUGAAAAAGCCUAUUGUAUCCAGUGGAGAAGAUGGAUCGAACCUCUGAACAAGAUCUUCCUCUCCAGGUCUCAACCAUUCCCUGAACAAUUAUGCCAAUUAAAAAAGUUAAAGACAACUCAUGGAACAACUUACAACUAUCAAAAUGUAUUGAUUAUUUUUAAACUAUUUGCCAAAACAGCUGAACACUCAAUAGUACAGCCAAGGGCAGAUAUUUGUUAAUGUUGGCAUUUCAUACCUAACAUGAACCCAUGUUGCCAGCAGAAAGUAUACACUAAAAUGUGAUUUCUAAAUUGCAAUUAAUUCUUUAGAAUGUAAAAGCUGAUUCUAAAUAUCAGUGUAAUGUAGGAAAAUCACAAGGCUAACUAAUUUGAAUAAACCAUGUGAUCUGAACAUAAUUGUGAUAUUAUACAUCUCUAUCAAAUUUCCUAUGAAAUUAAUAAAUUUAAAUAAAAGUCUUCAACCAAACAAUACUAGAUGGCCUAUAUUCUUUUGAGACUUUUUUUUUUCUCCUAUUAUUUUCAGAACAAAAAUGCUAAAUGUCCUACAUAAGUUGGUUCUCUCAUGCAGUAUCUAACUUUAAUCAACAAUGGCACAUUGAAACCGUUAAACCUUUUAUUAUCAGGCCUGUGAUUAAGAAUCAGGUUUAGACUUAGCAGCAGUUGUAAACAUUAAUCACUAAAGAGCACAGAGAGAGAGAGAGAGAGAGAAACUGAUAAGGCAGCUAUCAUUUACCAACUCCAAAUAACAAGCAAAGCCAUCAUAAAAGAAGCAUUAGUAUGCAAAAUUGGUCGUCUUAGCUUCAAGUUAGAUUUUAGAGUCCCUUUUGCCUACACAACCAAAAAUAGCACAUGAAAUAUCUGCCAAUGCUCAUCAUGAUUCUGCUUAUGUCUAUGAUACCAAAAUCAUAAUCUCCCAAGUAAACAAUAAAGCUUCCUUAAGUGAACGCUUGGGAAACUUCAGCCGAGGUGAACAAAAUAUUAAUAAUGUUUUCAAUUGUAAGCAGAACCAAAAGAAGCACAAAAGAAUUAACUUGAAGCUGCUUAGUUUAACUGUAAUUCCAAACACCAAAUGGUGGACAUUGCAUCCCUGUACCUUCAGAUGAACUGCAAAAUUCUAAAAUUUAGACUAAACAGCUCCAACAGCUGAAGCAUUUCAGACUCAUAAUAUUUACACAGAAAAACUCGAUAUGAUGACACAGGAGAAAAAUACUUACUCAGUAUAUCCAUCAGAUAACUGACAGCCACCAACAAGGCCAGGUCCCCCAACUCUUGGAUGCUGAAGUGCAUUAUGUAGUCAAUGGAAGCUCAUCAAAACAUGACCGACUCAAAAUCAUUAUUAGUCAUCUUACAAGAACAGCAAAAAUUAGGACCACCUGACACUUGCAAAUGGUCAAUCUAGAGUACAACCAUACAAGUUGUGCAGAUUUAUUGCACAGGUUUGCAGUGUAGAUAUGUGAAUUGUUGGUAUUCCAAGUUUUGUUACCUAAGCGCCUCUCUUGGAGCAGAACUUAUGUAUGCUUUAUGAGAUUGCACAAGAUGAUCAAAAUAUCUUGCUCUUCAACAUACUGUUCAGUUCAAUUUCAUCGCAAUUUUGACCACAAUAUAGCAUAAGGAAUGCCCGCUGACAAUAGAUAGAGAUCGACUGCCAUGCUGAAAAGCGAUCAAUCUCUAGGUAAUUUCUGGAACACAUGCUAAUUAUUUGAAAGAGCAGGAAAGGAAAAAUAUAAGGUUUUAAUUGUUACUUGGAUGAUUUUUAGAACCUCUAGCAUAACUCAAUAGAAAGUCCUUGCACAUAAGUAAAGAAUUGCUUCAUUUAUCUAACAGUCUGAGCAUCAAAAGAAGUGCAGACCUGUGAAGCCAGUGAGAGAAACUUGUAGGUAUCCAAUGCAUAUCGAACCAAUCCUUCAUUCUCUCCAGGAUUUAUAGUACAUCUGCCAGCAUUGAAAUUGAGGUCAAUCCUCUUCCUAAGUUAGCAAUAACUUUAAAACGAAUGUUACUCUCUCCCACUUCAAAUUGACGUCCGCUUUUCCAUAUUUUGGUGUAGCAAACUUAUGUUCAUUUUCCUUUAAUGAAGACUUGGAAUCAUAUAGUAGUAAUCUUUUACAUUAGCUCCUCAUGUUUCCACAUUUUCCCUAAACUAAAAUUAACUGACAUCGGCGCCACAGAUUUUUUUUCACUUUCUUUUGAUUUUAUUAUUCUUCAAGGUGCCCUAACAUUUGCAUUCUGUCACCUUUAUCUUGCAAUAAUAGUACAUGAUUCACAGGAUUCAUGAAAUAAACAGUACAUACUUCAUAGGGGUGUAACACAAGGUAGAGGAUGGAGCGGAAGCAAAAAAUGGAAUAUUGACAGCAUAUACUAGUGUACUACAUGAUGGCAGCAAUAACUAAAUCAAGAAAGUAACUGGUUAAGCCUUCCACUAUUGCAAAUAUUAACAAUCAAAUUGGAUAACUGCCUCUUGCAUUAUACAGGCGUGGGUUCCACCUUGCACUCAAGAUAUAGCUAAGAUAGGCUUGGAUCCUUGUUUUUGGAGCUGUUUUUGAAAAACUGUUUUUCACAUCCCAAAUGCUACAGUAAAUGUGUAUUUCUAAAACAACUCCAAAAACACCAUAUCCAAACAUUAUAUCAAAAACAACUACAUAUGUAUAUUUCAAUUAUGUAUAUUAUAUAUAUAUAUAUUAUAUUAAUAUAAAUUGAAAUAUACAAAUUGAAAAUUAUAUAUAUUAUAUAUUAUAUAAAUAUUUAUAUACAUUAAUAUUAUACAUUAAUAUUAUAAUAUACAUAAUAUAAUAUACAUAAUAUGUAAUAUUGUAUACAUAAAUGUGUAAAUAUUUAUACAUAAUAUAUUAUGUACAUUAUAUUAUAAUAUAUACAUUAUUAAUGUAUAAUAUUAUUAUGUACAUUAUUGUGUAUAAUAAUGUCUAAUAAUGUUAGGUAUAAUAUAUAAUAUACAUAAUAUGUAAUAAUGUAACAAUGUAUAUUAUGUAUAAUAUAUUAUAUUAUAUAUAUAUAAUAUUAUGUAUAUUAUACAAAUUGAAAAUUAUAUAUUAUAUAUUAUAUGAAUAUUUAUAUAAUGAAAUAUAAAAUAAAUAUUAAAAAUUGAAAUAUUAUAUAAACACCAUAUUUAUAAUAUUAUAAUAUUUAUAAUUAAUAUUAAUGUAUAUUAUAUAUAUAUUAAAUAUUUAUAUAUUUAUUUUUACAUAUUAUAAAUAUUUUAUUUUACUUAAAAAAUAUUUUUACAUAUUUAUAAUAUAUUUAUAUGAAUAUUAUAUAUUAUAUAAAUUAUAUAUAAUAUAAUAUAUAUUUUACAUUUAUAUAAAUGUAUAUUUAUACAUAAUAUAUAUAUUAAUGUAUAUUUAUAAUAUACAUUUAUAUUAUGUAUUAUACAAAAUAUAAUACAUUUAUAUUAAUAUACAUAAUAUUAAUUUUACAUUUAUACAUAAUAUUAAUACAUUUGUACAUUUAUAUUAAUUAUAUUAAUACAUUUAUACAUAAUAUUAAUAUAUAUUAAUAAAAUUAUAAUUUAUACAUUUAUAUAAUAUUCAUUUGUAAUUUAUACAUUUAUAAUAAUAUGCAAUUUUACAUUUAUAAAUAUAUUUAUAAUAUGUAUUAUAUGUAAUAUAAUACAUUUAUAUAUUUUUAUAUAAAUACAUAAAUAUAUUUAUUUAUAAAUAUUUAUAAAUGUAUAUUUAUAUAAAAAUAUAUAAUUUAUAAUUUAUACAUUUAUACAUUUAUACAUUUAUGUAAUAUUCCUUUAUAAUUUAUAAAUUUACAAGAAUAUACACUUAUACAUUUAUAAAUAUAUUUAUAUUAUGUAUUAUAUGUAAUAUAAUACAUUUAUAUACUUUUAUAGAAAUAAAUAAAUAUAUUUAUUUAUAAGUAUUUAUAAAUGUAUUAUAAAUGCAUAAAUGUAUAUUUAUAUAAAAAUAUAAAAAUUAUAAAUUAUAAAUUAUACAUUUAUACAUUUAUAUAAUAUUCAUUUAUAAUUUAUAAAUUUACAAUAAUAUACACUUAUACAUUUAUAAAUAUAUUUGUAUUAUGUAUUAUAUUUAAUACAAUAAAUUUAUAAUAUAUUUUUAUAUAAAUAUAUAAAUAUAUUUAUUUAUAAAUGCAUAAAUGUAUAUUUAUAUCAAAAUAUAAAAAUUAUAACUUAUAAUUUAUACAUUUAUACAAUAUUCAUUUAUAAUUUAUACAUUUAUAAUAAUAUACACUUAUACAUUUAUAAAUAUAUUUAUAUUAUGUAUUAUAUAUAAUAUAAUACAUUUAUAAUACAUUUAUAUAUUUUUUAGCGAAUAUAUAAAUAUAUUUAUUUAUAAAUAUUUAUAAAUGUAUUAUAAAUGCAUAAAUGUAUAUAAAAAUAAAAUUAUAUAAAUUAUAAAUUAUAAAAAUACCCAAAAUAUGUUUUAAAAAUAUCUCUAAAAAUAAUCCAAAAAACAUCUACAGUAAAAGUUUUUCAUAUAGUUUUUGAAAAACAAUCUCAAAAACAACUAAUCCAAACGGACUUAUAUUUCAAAAACGAAAUGCUACAGUGCUGUUUUUGAAAAACAACCCAAAAAACAGGUAAUCCAAACGGAGCCUCAGUUUGUAGCAACAGAAGUUAAAUCUAAAUCAGUAUAAAGGAGAACAAUAUGGCCAUCCAUUGUCCAGAUCCAGAAAAGAACACUCUUCUCAUCUUCUUACCCUCCCAAAACCAAGCUUUCAUGGUGUAUUGCCCAACAAGACCUUCCAACAACCAAAAAUAGCUAUCUGCCAGGCAUUCUGUGUCUUCCGAGCCCUCCAGGUCAAAAGAAAGUUUCCCCAACUCCUUUGAUUGUGUAGGUUCCUUUCCCAUACUAAGUUCACCAAAAACACUGCCAAUGAAGUUCCAAAUAACCUGUUGACCGACCAUCCUCCAACAAAACUAUGUUGUCCAGACGAUAAGUGGCCCAAGGAAUUCCAAGAUUAAGGAUUAGGCACAACUUCAAAGACAGCCUAUUUGGUAGUAGUUGGGUUUGAGUCUCAACAAGUCUUUCUGUUUAUUUCUAAAUUUUUUUGGUAUAACACUUAAGAGGUAUAUUCUACUAAUAUAGGUGUGAGGCCCCAGUCCGUUCGUAAGUUGAUAUUAAGGUUAUUCAUUAUUUUGUGCGGUUAAAUUAAGGUUGUAGGGCUAAGGAGAAACCCUAAUCUCGGCUAAGAUUGAAAACCCUAACUUUACUUAUGAUUAAACCCUAGUUUAUGUGUUAUUUGUAGGUUCAAGUUAUAGUUCAUGUUUGGUAUUCUAGUGUGUGUUUUGGCCCAAGUAAAAAUAGGAUUCGUUUUAGUUUACAAAGGUUUAGCAAGGUUGAUAUGGUUAGCAAACCUUAGAUUAGUAAACCUUUAGUGUUAUAAAUUAUUAGAAAACUUAAGUUGGGUUUAAAAACCCUAAUUUUGCCAAUAUUAUAAAAGUUGAUGUUUAAUUGUUUUAUUUAUGGAGAAAGUAUGUUUAAGUAUAAGUGAUUAAGAUGGGAAAGUGAUUAGUGAAGUAAUUAAGUGUGAUUAUGUGUUUUAAACUAAAUUAAGCUAAAACCUAUGGAGUAAAUUGAAAGAUUAUCAAAUGUUUGAGGGAAAAUGUAUAAGAAAGAGAAAGUUGGAGUGCAAGGGUUAAAAGUGCAAUUGAGGAACUUUUAUGUGAUUGGUUAACCUUAACAAAUAUCUUUUCUUGUAUUUGACUAUUUAACACCUUAGGAAUAUGAAGUAAUCACAAGACAAACAAGACAAACUUGGAGAGCAAGAGCGAGAGAGAGGAGCCGAGAUUUAGAGAGAAUUCUUCAAAAAUCUUUAAAUUUUAGCUUUCAUCUUGCCUUUGGAUCUUGUGGGAACAACUUAAGAGGUUGAUUGUCAAGAAUUGAUCAUCUACCUAACUCACUUGAAGGUAUGCUAUCUUCUUUAAAAGAUAAAUGUUGGGGUUUUAAUUUCUAAGCUAUGGAAAUGAUGUAGUAUGUUAUGAUUAUGGAUUUAUAUGGUGGAUUUGAUGUUUAUAUUGAAGUUUCAUGGUUAAUUUUAGUGUUGUUUUGCUGCUGGAAAUUCGAUCAAGAAGAGAAAAAUUAGGGGUUUCUUGCUUUAAUGCUUUCCCUAGUUGCUUUGAUUGAGAAAUUGAUUUGUAGUGAUUGUGUUUGAUAAUUUGCCUCACUUGAUUGGUUGGUUUCUAGCAAAAAUCUGAUUUGGGUUAAGAAACCCUAGACUCCAUUAGGUUAGCUUAGUUUAGCCUAUGGCUAUUGAGUUAGGGUUUAUGUAGUUGGAUGUUAGAACAAGUUCUAUGGUGCAAGUAAAACUAGAUUAAGGAUUAUGGUUAGUAUUUGGUGAUUUUGGGCUAACUUGUGAAGGAAUUUCGGACCACUCCUAAACUGAUAUAAGUAUGGUUGUUGGGGAUCAAAUUGGUUAGAAAAUUUGCAUAAGAAUCAUAAGAACGGACCGUACGGUUGUGGCGCGCAAAACCGGCAAAUCUGGGAAACUAGGACAGUUCAGGAUCCGAACUUUGGCUUUGUUUUUCUCAAUGUUGCGUACGGAUUCAGAAGUUCCUCAAAACAUGAAAGUUGUAGCCUUAUAAGUCCUGAAUAUGCCUGUAAAUUUUCAGGUCAAUCGGAUUAGCGUAUCCGGAGUUAUAGAUGAAAUACUCAAGUCUGUUUUGAACAUCAGAUUCUGUGCGUUUUUUGUUUAGCUUCUAACCAUGACUUUUUCGAUUUUGAUCCCGUACGAUCUGGGUGUCAACUCCUUCAUAAGAAAUGUAGAUUUUGGUCUCAGCUUCGAAACGGUAUAAAGUGCGUCGAAAUCCGAGUUCCGUAGCUUCCGUUAUGACCAAAAUAAGAUUGAUCGUCAGAACUGCUUUUGAUCUGGACAGUUCUGACGGGUACUUUGACACUCAAAUUUCGUUCUGUUCUGAGUGGAUUCAGGUCUUGGCCAAAACAUCAAAGUUUUAGCCUUAUGUCUCAGAUUUCUAAUGCCUUUGGAAUUUCCUGAUUUGGUUUUGUGAACUGGGAAUUAUGGUCCAGCAAACAUACCCUGUCUGUCACUCUAAAGUGCGAAUUUCUGGAACAGUUUUCCAUACUUUCGACCUAUUUCCGUUUAGAUCCGGAGUUAGGUGUCUUCAUGAAAGUUAUAGACUUUUCUCUUAGCUUCGCAACGGUACCUCAUGUACCUUGAUCCGACACUCGUAGCUUCGAUUAGGCUCAAAACAAUUUUGACGGCAAAAUGGCUAGGUCGCCAUUUCCGUUUCCGUAUGCCGUUUCCGCACUCGUAUGUGCCGAUUUUGCCGUUUUGCUUGUUUUAGGUAUAUUAGUAGCCGUUUAUGAUAUUAUGUGAUGCAAUCUUCUAUUUCAGACGGUGGUAAGUUAGGUGGAGCCGGUGGGGCCUACUAGCUACUCUUCGCGGCACAAAUUUCGAAUUUUUGCUCUUUUGUUCGUUGAGUAAGUAUUCAGGCCGAUCUUACGUGUUAGUUGCUUAUGUGUUUCGAUAUGUAUGAAAAGGGUACCUAGGCGAGGGUGUAUUUUAUCGCACUCGACCUAAACCCUAAUUUGCGUACAUAUUUGUACAUGACAUAUGUAUAUGAAUCAUUUUGGAACUAAACCCCUUGAGCUUGUGGCUCGGGGUGACUUUUGAAUAAAUUUUGUGAAUUUUGUGAGUUUGGGGCCCGAUCUCAUGACCUAGAUGGGCUAUUCGAGCCGAUUAGGGCUUGGUCGAAAUCAGUCCAACCUAGUUGAGGUCACCAAGUUUGUGAAUCCGGUUCAUCGAGUAUGUGGACCAAGUUUGUGACCCGAGCUUGUGAGCCAAACUCAAUUUCGUUCGCUCGAGCAAGUUUGUGAGGUGUCUAGCCAGAGAGGGUGAUAAAGUGUACGGUGGGGAGAACAAGUGGAGUUCUACGGACCAUUAAUUGUGGUCGACGGAGUUUCGGCAGGAGAUCAUACAUGGCACAUGAAUUGGCUUUGGAGCCACCUGUAUCCUUAUUAUGUGAUGUUACUUUUCUGCUUUUGCUUUACUCUUACUGUGUAACUGUUGUUACGUGAAAUUUACGCUUUUGCCCCUGUUUACUUACUAAGCAUAUAACUUACCCCUUUCCUUUUGUUUUCCUUAGAAGGGGCCGACGCGGGGACUUUUGGCAUACACUAGUAUAGUUAGCUUUGCUUGUAAUAGUUGAACAAUUAGGAUGUUUGUUUUUGUUGUGGUGGUUUAUAUAAGGACCCUCCUUAGGGUCUACAUUUUGGUUUUGGUUGUAAUGAUAAGGAUGUAAUAGUGUGAGCAGGUACUUUUGGAGAAUGUAAUUAUAACUCUUUUGGGAUUGUAUAUAGUAUGUAUAGUACUCUUUUGGAUUUUCUGGCUUUUAUUGUUUUAAGUUUUGAGUCCUGGCGCGAGCUAGGCAGGCGGCCCGCCGAUACCCUUGGGUUCGCCCUUGGGAGAAGUGGGGUCGUCACAGUUGGUAUCAGAGCCAGGUUAGGGGACUUGGGCAAAUGGGACAUACGUGAUAGGCACUAGGCAUAUUUGAUUCUUUUAAGUUGAAUGAUAUACUUUAAGCUGAAAUGCCGGUAAACUGAUGAAUUAAUGUUUUGUAAGUAUGUAUCCGGGCAGUUCGAGUGGUGCAGGACCCAGUGGCAUGAGACCGAAACCUCCGAGUGCGAGGGGUCCAGAGGAUCGAGCACUGCGUAAGCGGGCUUCCGUUAUCGACAGAGACCUGGAGAGCCUUACACUUUGUACUCCCCUUUUGGUCAGGUGUCACACCGACCUUAUAGGUGUUGGUAUACGUAUAGUUAUCCUGACGAGGUCGUCCUGGCAGUGGACGAUGAGCGACGCAGUCUGAUUAGUCAGCUAGAGGAGGCCAGAGAGGUUGGCCAUGGGCAGGAGUUGCGUAUUAGGGCCUUGGAGCUGGGCCUCCGAGAUGAGAUGGAGAGGGCGGACGCUUUACGCCGUCAGCUUCAGGACACACACCAGCACCUCUUCGCUAUGAAGAGGCAGCUGAGGGAUAGGGCCCGGAGUAUGUCUGUCGACUGCGAGCUCCUACUAGAUCUAGCCGCAGAGGCACCGCCACGAGCCACCGGUCCAGAGAGGAUGGACGAGGUGGACACGUUAGGUUCCGUUGGGAACCUGGGCCUUAGGGGAGGCGAUUAGGGUUGCUUUUGUACUUUUGUUUAGCUAGUGGAUGACUUUUGUUAGAACUAGCAUGACUACUUUCUUUUGUUAUCUGGUUGACUGAUUAGAUUUUAGAGCCGAUGCUCAUGUGUACAUUGGGUUUUGUACCGACCGGAGGUCGGUAAUCUGUAAAUCUUUUGGUGUGACUUUGUAAAUAUAUGUAUAUAUUUGAAUAGUAUUUUGAACUUAUCUUUUGUGUCUUCUGUGCAUACGCUUUACGUCUGUACUUUUGUUCAUAGUCUGGAGAAUAAGUAUAUGUAAUGUUCCGAUCUAUAGACUUUUGCAUUUAAAUGGCCUCCGGUACUCGAGGUGGAGGUAGAGGGCGAGCACGAAGCCCUGAAAGGGAACAAGGACAAGAGCCAGAUCAAGUCGCUACAGCCAUCCAGUGGAUGGCCGAUCUAUUAGAGCGAAUGUCAAAUCAACAAGGCCAGGGGAGCAGUACUGGGAAUCCUGGACAUAAUCCGGGACAUAAUCCGGAAGAGGACCGUGCUUUAGAACGGUUCCAAAAAUUUGCACCUCCUAAGUUUAUAGGUGGACCCAAUCCUGACCUAGCAGAGGCCUGGAUGGACCGUAUGUUAGACAUAUUUGCCGCGCUUAGGUAUUCGGAGGAGCGGCAGAUAUCUUUUGCUGUUUUUCAGUUUGAAGGGACCGCUCGAACCUGGUGGAACAUGAUUAAAACCAAGUGGGAGCGCGAACAAACCCCCUGGACCUGGAUCAACUUUACACGAGAAUUUAAUGAAAAAUAUCUACCACCCAUUGUGCAAGAAAAACGGGAAGAUGAUUUUAUCCGCCUGCGUCAAGAGGCAUCUAGUCUGGCGGAGUAUGAGACUCAGUUCACUAAACUCUCUCGCUUUGCCCCAGAGCUAGUACUAACAGAGCAAAAGCGGAUUCGCCGUUUUACCCAAGGCUUGAAUGUAGAGAUUCAGGAAGCACUAGCGGCUGCACAGCUGGACACCUUUAGCCAGGCACUAGAAAAAGCACAGCGGAUUGAGACUGCCAGGGGACAGGUUAAAGCCUUUCAUGACCGGAAAAGGAGGCAACCCAGCUCGAACGAUUCCCCGGUUGGACAGAGCUCGCGAAACGAGCCACCUGCUAAAACGAGUAAAGGCACAGAUGGUCCACGACCUACAGGAACCCAGAAUAGCUUUGGGCGAGGUCAGAUAGUGCAAGAGCCCCAGAGGAGUGCCCAGCGUGGAGGGUCAGGUACGGCCACUAAGCCAACCUGUGAUUUCUGUGGGGGCAAUCACACCGAUGAAAAUUGUUGGAAAAAUAGUUCGGUACGGAAAUGCUUCAAAUGUGGUAGCACUGAACAUUUGAUUGUCCGGUGCCCUAAGAUGCAGAAGGAAGGACUCAAACCACCAACAGAAGGGACCACAACGAAGCCAUCAAACGCAGGGGAAAAUCGACCCAAAGGGCCAGCAAGAGUGUAUGCAAUGGAUCAACACGAAGUGACUGACCCUUCGGCGGGUUUCGAAGGUAUGCUUUGACCAAAGAAUUAAUUUCGAGGAGGAAAUUGUCCUAAGUGGGGGAGAUUGUGAGGCCCCAGUCCGUUCGUAAGACGAUAUUAGGGUUAUUCAUUAUUUUGUACGGUCAAAUUAUGGUUGUAGGGCUAAGGAGAAACCCUAAUCUCGGCUAAGAUUGAAAACCCUAACUUUAGAAAGUUGUAGCCUUAUAAGUCCUGAAUAUGCCUGUAAAUUUUCAGGUGAAUCGGAUUAGCGUUUCCGGAGUUAUAGAUGAAAUACUCAAGUCUGUUUUGAACAUCAGAUUCUGUGCGUUUUUGGUUUAGCUUCUGACCAUGACUUUUUCGAUUUUGAUCCCGUAUGAUCUGGGUGUUAACUCCUUCAUAAGAAAUGUAGAUCUUGGUCUCAGUUUCGAAACGGUAUAAAGUGCGUCGAAAUUCUAUACACUUUCGAGGGAGUCAAAAGAUAAGUUCAGCACUUUCGGGUCACAAAUUUUAUCAAACACUAAACAGGGGUAAGCUAUACUAGUGUAUGUGCCAAAAGUCACCCCGAGCCACAAGCUCAAGGGGUUUAGUUCCAAAAUGAUUCAUAUACAUAUGUCAUGUACAAAUAUGUACGCAAAUUAGGGUUUAGGUCGAGUGCGAUAAAGUACACCCUCGCCUAGGUACCCUUUUCAUACAUAUCGAAACACAUAAGCAACUAACACGUAAGAUCGGCCUGAAUACUUACUCAACGAACAAAAGAGCAAAAAUUCGAAAUUUGUGCCGCGAAGAGUAGCUAGUAGGCCCCACCGGCUCCACCUAACUUACCACCGUCUGAAAUAGAAGAUUGCAUCACAUAAUAUCAUAAACGGCUACUAAUAUACCUAAAACAAGCAAAACGGCAAAAUCGGCACAUACGAGUGCGGAAACGGCAUACGGAAACGGAAAUGGCGACCUAGCCAUUUUGCCGUCAAAAUUGUUUUGAGCCUAAUCGAAGCUACGAGUGUCGGAUCAAGGUACAUGAGGUACCGUUGCGAAGCUAAGAGAAAAGUCUAUAACUUUCAUGAAGACACCUAACUCCGGAUCGGAACAGAGAUGGGUCGAAAGUGCAGAAAACCGUUCCAGGAAUUCGCACUCUAGAGUAACGGACAAGGUAUGUUUGCUGGACUAUAACUCCCAACUCACAAAUCCAAAUCAGGAAAUUUCAAAGGCAUUAGAAAGCUGAGACAUAAGGCUAAAACUUUGAUGUUUUGGCCAAGACCUGAAUCCACUCAGAACAGAACGAAAUUUGAGUGUCAAAGUACCCGUCAGAACUGUCCAGAUCAAAGGCAGUUCUAACGAUCGAUCUUGUUUUGGUCAUAACGGAAGCUACGGAACUCGGAUUUCGACGCACUUUAUACCGUUUCGAAACUGAGACCAAGAUCUACAUUUCUUAUGAAGGAGUUGACACCCAAAUCGUACGGGAUCAAAACCGAAAAAGUCAUGGUCAGAAGCUAAACCAAAAACGCACAGAAUCUGAUUUUCAAAACAGACUUGAGUAUUUCAUCUAUAACUCCGGAUACGCUAAUCCGAUUGACCUGAAAAUUUACAGGCAUAUUCAGGACUUAUAAGGCUACAACUUUCAUGUUUUGAGGAACUUCUGAAUCCGUACGCAACAUCGAGAAAAACAAAACCAAAGUUCGGAUCUUGAACUGUCCUAAUUUCCCAGAUUUGCCGGUUUUGCGCGCCACAACCGUACGGUCCGUUCUUAUGAUUCUUAUGCAAAUUUUCUAACCAAUUUGAUCCCCAACAACCAUACUUAUAUCAGUCUAGGAGUGGUUCGAAAUUCCUUCACAAGUUAGCCCAAAAUCACCAAAUACUAACCAUAAUCCUUAAUCUAGUUUUACUUGCACCAUAGAACUUGUUCUAACAUCCAACUACACAAACCCUAACUCAAUAGCCAUAGGUUAAACUAAACUAACCUAAUGGAGUCUAUGGUUUCUUAACCCAAAUCAGAUUUUUGCUAGAAACCAACCAAUCAAGUGAGGCAAAUUAUCAAACACAACCACUACAAAUCAAUUUCUCAAUCAAAGCAACUAAGGAAAGCAUUAAAGCAAGAAACCCCUAAUUUUUCUCUUCUUGAUCGAAUUUCCAGCAGCAAAACAGCACUAAAAUUAACCAUGAAACUUCAAUAUAAACAUCAAAUCCACCAUAUAAAUCCAUAAUCAUAACAUACCACAUCAUUUCCAUAGUUUAGAAAUUAAAACCCCAACAUUUAUCUUUUAAAGAAGAUAGCAUACCUUCAAGUGAGUUAGGUAGAUGAUCAAUUCUUGACAAUCAAACUCUUAAGUUGUUCCCACAAGAUCCAAAGGCAAGAUGAAAGCUAAAAUUUAAAGAUUUUGGAAGAAUUUUCUCUUCUCUUUCACUCUCUAAAUCUCGGCUCCUCUCUCUCUCUCUUGCUCUCCAAGUUUGUCUUGUUUGUCUUGUGAUUACUUCAUAUUCCUAAGGUGUUAAAUAGUCAAAGACAAGAAAAGAUAUUUGUUAAGCUUAACCAAUCACAUAAAAGUUCCUCAAUUGCACUUUUAACCCUUGCACUCCAACUUUCUCUUUCUUAUACAUUUUCCCUCAAACAUUUGAUAAUCUUUCAAUUUACUCCAUAGGUUCUAGCUUAAUCUAGUUUAAAACACAUAAUCACACUUAAUUAUUUCACUAAUCACUUUCCCAUCUUAAUCACUUAUACUUAAACAUACUUUCUCCAUAAAUAAAACAAUUAAACAACAACUUAUAUAAUAUUAGCAAAAUUAGAAUUUUUAAACCCAACUUAAGCUUUUUAAUAAAUUAUAACACUAAAGGUUUGCUAAUCUAAAGUUUGCUAACCAUUUCAAACGUGCUAAACCUUUGUAAACUAAAACGAAUCAUAUAUUUGUGAGUUUGGGGCCCGAUCUCAUGACCUAGAUGGGCUAUUCGAGCCGGUUCGGACUUGGUCGAAAUCAGUCCAACCUAGUUGAGGUCACCAAGUUUGUGAAUCCGGUUCACCGAGUAUGUGGACCAAGUUUGUGACCCGAGCUUGUGAGCCAAGCUCAAUUUCGUUCGCUCGAGCAAGUUUGUGAGGUGUCUGGCCAGAGAGGGUGAUAAAGUGUACGGUGGGAAGAACAAGUGGAGUUCUACGGACCAUUAAUUGUGGUCGACGGAGUGUCGGCAGGAGAUCAUACAUGGCACAUGAAUUGGCUUUGGAGCCACCUGUAUCCUUAUUAUGUGAUGUUACUUUUCUGCUUUUGCUUUACUCUUACUGUGUAACUGUUACGUGAAAUUUACGUUUUUGCCCCUGUUUACUUACUAAGCAUAUAGCUUACCCCUUUUCUUUUGUUUUCCUUAGCAGGGGCCGACGCGGGGACUUUUGGCACAUACACUAGUAUAGUUAGCUUUGCUUGUAAUAGUUGAACAAUUAGGAUGUUUGUUUUUGUUGUGGUGGUUUGUAUAAGGACCCUCCUUAGGGUCUACAUUUUGGUUUUGGUUGUAAUGAUAAGGAUGUAAUAGUGUGAGCAGGUACUUUUGGAGAAUGUAAUUAUAACUCUUUUUGGAUUGUAUAUAGUAUGUAUAGUACUCUUUUGGAUUUUCUAUUUUGUGCGGUUAAAUUAAGGUUGUAGGGCUAAGGAGAAACCCUAAUCUCGGCUAAAAUUGAAAACCCUAACUUUGCUUAUGAUUAAACCCUAGUUUAUGUGUUAUUUGUAGGUUCAAGUUAUAGUUCAUGUUUGGUAUUCUAGUGUGUGUUUUGGCCCAAGUAAAAAUAGGAUUCGUUUUAGUUUACAAAGGUUUAGCAAGGUUGAUAUGGUUAGCAAACCUUAGAUUAGUAAACCUUUAGUGUUAUAAAUUAUUAGAAAACUUAAGUUGGGUUUAAAAACCCUAAUUUUGCCAAUAUUAUAAAAGUUGAUGUUUAAUUGUUUUAUUUAUGGAGAAAGUAUGUUUAAAUAUAAGUGAUUAAGAUGGGAAAGUGAUUAGUGAAAUAAUUAAGUGUGAUUAUGUGUUUUAAACUAAAUUAAGCUAAAACCUAUGGAGUAAAUUGAAAGAUUAUCAAAUGUUUGAGGGAAAAUGUAUAAGAAAGAGAAAGUUGGAGUGCAAGGGUUAAAAGUGCAAUUGAGGAACUUUUAUGUGAUUGGUUAAGCUUAACAAAUAUCAUUUCUUGUCUUUGACUAUUUAACACCUUAGGAAUAUGAAGUAAUCACAAGACAAACAAGACAAACUUGGAGAGCAAGAGCGAGAGAGAGGAGCCGAGAUUUAGAGAGAAUUCUUCAAAAAUCUUUAAAUUUUAGCUUUCAUCUUGCCUUUGGAUCUUGUGUGAACAACUUAAGAGGUUGAUUGUCAAGAAUUGAUCAUC